GGAGGUAAGGGCCAUGGGGCUGUGACAGCUGUCACUCCAUUGAUCACCCUGGUUGAUUGGGCUGAUCUGGCUGGCUAGGUGGUUUCCUGUCCUUCCCUCUCUGCACUGUGAGCAUCCCUCUUCAAGCUGCAUGCUUGGUCAAAGAGGAAAACCUUCUCUAAAAAAAAGAAAUUCAGGUCAAAAGUCAAGGGUGUCUGUGCUUCCCUGCUACAAGCUCCAAACAAGCCCCCAAGAGCCACAAGAUGAAAAGGAGUGUCCUGAGGCUUGGCCCCGC
RNAcentral lists this small nuclear RNA (274 nucleotides) under Jaculus jaculus (lesser Egyptian jerboa). RNAcentral's name for it is "7SK RNA (ENSJJAG00000005466.1)". It matches the Rfam family "7SK RNA". Rfam says of the family: 7SK was discovered as an abundant small nuclear RNA in the mid-70s but a possible function has only recently been suggested. Two independent studies have found that 7SK RNA binds the CDK9/cyclin T complex (known as elongation factor P-TEFb). Lineage: Eukaryota; Metazoa; Chordata; Mammalia; Rodentia; Dipodidae. The record is from Rfam by way of RNAcentral.